AUGCAGGUUAAUGAGAUUAACAGGAAUACCUUCUACAUUACACCAAAGAUUGACUCCUUCACUCUCAUAUCAGAGAAAGAAAAUCACAUAGUCAUUGUAAAGAAACUGAAAGCCUGUUAUGACUAUAUCCCAGUACAGUUACUUCUCUUUCCAAUCUUCCUUGAAAUUUCUUUGUUUCAGAAUAUCCGCUUGAAAGGUAAUGAUACUAUUUCCAGGAAGAUUAAAAUGUUCCACCACUGGUUUGAAGACAUUACUACUUUUAAUAUCUGAUCUGUGUAUAAUUAUCUCCUUGCAUAGAGACUGCUAUUUGUCAAAUGUAUAGAGCAUCACUGUUAACAGUACAGUAUGAGCAGAUGAAUGAAACCAAUACCGUUGCUACCAAAAUGGACGUGAAUGGAGAGUUGGCAUACCAAUUUGUGGCAGGCCCUGCUGUGGGUGAAUAGUUAUCUGAAAUUAGGAGGCUGUAUGUAAGCAAGUAAAGACCUACCAUCAGAGCCUGUGUGUGGGUAGUAGUAUUCUUCAAAGUUUUUGCAGCUUGUUUGAGUAGUCUCAACUGUGAGCUGUAGGUGUUUGUUCAUCAUUUUCUGGUUCUGAUCUGUCUUGUAGAUUGUUCUUCGGUAUUGGCUGUGCCUUGCUGAUUUCUUUUUUCACCUCACUAGGUGGGUUUUACAAUUGGAGAAAUGAUUCUUGCAAAUCCAUGAGUUGUGAGUCUCUGUCUUCUGGCUCUUAGUGGAUGUGCUUGUACUGAAGGGCUUGGCUGUAAAUGAUAGAUUUGAUGGGGUGUUCUGAAUGGAAGGUUGAGAUAUGAAAGUAUGUGCAAUCAGUUUGAAAUAUAGCAUGGUCUCUUUUUAGAAAUAUAAAGUGGAAUAUAAUAAUAAUAAUAAUAAUAAUAAUAAUAAUAAUAAUAAUAAUAAUAAUUGUGCGGUUUUCUGGCAUUGUGUAUUUCUGCCGCUUCUGUGACUGUUCAUUUGGGGUUUGAUGAUUCCGUAGCCCACUUGUCAAUGGAUGUCCAGAAUCAGCAGCAUCCACCGCGGUCCUUUUUAUCCUGGGCGACGACCGAGCCAGUAUAGACUUCGUUUGGGUUUGAUUCUCCAUAAUGCGAAUGGGUUAGGUGCUCUUAGUUCUGCUCCUCAGCUGAGGCCUCUCUGGCUUGGUUGGACCUACCGGUAGUUACACUACCGCCAGCACAGCCCUCAGUCAUCAUUGGAGCAGUCAAGCCCCCCCACCACGUCAAGGUGGCACCUGCAAAGGUUGUGGAAAAUGAACACGCAAAGACACUGUGGGACUUCCGAAUCCAGACUGACAAAGUUCUGGAACACAACACACCAGACAUCACAGUUGUGGAAAAGAACAAGGUUUGGAUCAUUGAUGUUGCCAUCCCAGGUGACAGUCGCAUUGAAGAAAAACAACAGGAAAAACUCAGCCGCUAUCAGGACCUCAAGAUUGAACUUCAAAGACUCUGGCAGAAACCAGUGCAGGUGGUCCCGGUGGUGAUGGGCACACUGGGUGCCGUGCCAAAAGAUCUCAGCCGGCAUUUGGAAACAAUAGACAUUGACAAAAUUACGAUCUGCCAACUGCAAAAGGCCACCUUACUGGGAUCUGCACGCAUCAUCCGAAAAUACAUCACACAGUCCUAGACACUUGGGAAGUGUUCAACUUGUGAUUUUGUGAAACGAAAUCCAGCAUAUCUAUCUUGUUUGCUGUGUCAUACAACGUCGUUGUGUCAAUAAUAAUAAUAAUAAUAAUAAUAAUAAUAAUAAACAACAGGAAAAACUCAGCCACUAUUAGGACCUCAAGAUUGAACUUCAAAGACUCUGGCAGAAACCAGUACAGGUGGUGAUGGGCGCACUGGGUGCCAUGCCAAAAGUUCUCAGCCG
Molecule: long non-coding RNA, 1877 nt
Organism: Anolis carolinensis (green anole)
Lineage: Eukaryota; Metazoa; Chordata; Lepidosauria; Squamata; Anolidae
Source: Ensembl